AGCGAACGCUGGCGGCAGGCUUAACACAUGCAAGUCGAGCGGGCACUUUCGGGUGUCAGCGGCGGACGGGUGAGUAACGCGUGGGAACGUGCCCUCUGGUUCGGAAUAACUCAGGGAAACUUGAGCUAAUACCGGAUACGCCCUUUUGGGGAAAGGCUUGCUGCCGGAGGAUCGGCCCGCGUCUGAUUAGCUAGUUGGUGAGGUAACGGCUCACCAAGGCGACGAUCAGUAGCUGGUCUGAGAGGAUGAUCAGCCACACUGGGACUGAGACACGGCCCAGACUCCUACGGGAGGCAGCAGUGGGGAAUAUUGGACAAUGGGCGCAAGCCUGAUCCAGCCAGGCCGCGUGAGUGAUGAAGGCCUUAGGGUUGUAAAGCUCUUUUAUCCGGGACGAUAAUGACGGUACCGGAGGAAUAAGCCCCGGCUAACUUCGU
RNAcentral lists this ribosomal RNA (434 nucleotides) under uncultured bacterium. RNAcentral's name for it is "partial 16S ribosomal RNA". It matches the Rfam family "Bacterial small subunit ribosomal RNA", at positions 29 to 506 of the family's 1533-position model. The record is from RNAcentral.